CAGGGUGUAGCUCAGUGGUAAAGCACAUGCUUAACAUACAUGAAGCCCUAGGUUCCAUCCUCAGCACCCAAA
RNAcentral lists this transfer RNA (72 nucleotides) under Heterocephalus glaber (naked mole-rat). It matches the Rfam family "tRNA". Rfam says of the family: Transfer RNA (tRNA) molecules are approximately 80 nucleotides in length. Their secondary structure includes four short double-helical elements and three loops (D, anti-codon, and T loops). The record is from Rfam by way of RNAcentral. Lineage: Eukaryota; Metazoa; Chordata; Mammalia; Rodentia; Bathyergidae.